This 70-nucleotide transfer RNA is filed under the name Aeromonas hydrophila. Its description in RNAcentral is "tRNA-Ser". Lineage: Bacteria; Pseudomonadati; Pseudomonadota; Gammaproteobacteria; Aeromonadales; Aeromonadaceae. The record is from RNAcentral. RNAcentral also lists the same sequence under 2 other names.
CGGUGCAUCCAGCGCUGCAAUUUUGUUCGGGACGAAGGGGUCGGAGGUUCGAAUCCUCUCACACCGACCA